Polistes dominula (European paper wasp) is the source of this 319-nucleotide long non-coding RNA. RefSeq lists it as uncharacterized. The record is from RefSeq and is a predicted model, not a curated record. Lineage: Eukaryota; Metazoa; Arthropoda; Insecta; Hymenoptera; Vespidae.
UCGCUAAGUCGUGCGAAAAUACCGGUUGCUCCGGACAUGCCGAUAGGAUUCCGAGAAAUCGAUUGCAUACCUCGCUGCACCAACUUUUACAUGUGUUUUCUCUCCGUUACCUCGUACAUGUGUUACGAGAAAGAAAGAGAGAGAAAACGAGAGGGAGAGGAAAGGAGGGUGGAUAUGAGAUGGCCGACAAGCUUCUAAAAAAUACCCUCGAAGCGUUACUACCCUCACCAGGUUCGAACGAAGCAAGGAAGAUCGAAACGAAUGGGCCACACGUGUGCUACGUUUUCUUUCCUCCUUUUUUUCUACUUUUUUCUACCCC